This 492-nucleotide ribosomal RNA is filed under the name uncultured bacterium. RNAcentral's name for it is "partial 16S ribosomal RNA". It matches the Rfam family "Bacterial small subunit ribosomal RNA", at positions 29 to 507 of the family's 1533-position model. The record is from RNAcentral.
AGUGAACGCUGGCGGUAGGCCUAACACAUGCAAGUCGAACGGCAGCACAGUAAGAGCUUGCUCUUACGGGUGGCGAGUGGCGGACGGGUGAGGAAUACAUCGGAAUCUACUUUUUCGUGGGGGAUAACGUAGGGAAACUUACGCUAAUACCGCAUACGACCUACGGGUGAAAGCAGGGGAUCUUCGGACCUUGCGCGAUUGAAUGAGCCGAUGUCGGAUUAGCUAGUUGGCGGGGUAAAGGCCCACCAAGGCGACGAUCCCUAGCUGGUCUGAGAGGAUGAUCAGCCACACUGGAACUGAGACACGGCCCAGACUCCUACGGGAGGCAGCAGUGGGGAAUAUUGGACAAUGGGCGCAAGCCUGAUCCAGCCAUACCGCGUGGGUGAAGAAGGCCUUCGGGUUGUAAAGCCCUUUUGUUGGGAAAGAAAAGCAGCAGGUUAAUACCCCGCUGUUCUGACGGUACCCAAAGAAUAAGCACCGGCUAACUUCGUG